ACCCGCACAAGCAGCGGAGCGUGUGGUUUAAUUCGUUGCUACACGAAGGACCUUACCUGGGUUUGACAUAUAGGUUGUAGGGAACUGAAAAGGGACCGACCCUUCGGGGAGCCUAUACAGGUGUUGCAUGGCUGUCGUCAGCUCGUGUCGUGAGAUGUUCGGUUAAGUCCGCUAACGAGCGCAACCCUCGUCGUAUGUUAUAUGUGUCAUACGAGACUGCCGGUAAAAGCCGGAGGAAGGUGAGGAUGAUGUCAAGUCAGCAUGACCUUUAUAUCCAGGGCUACACACACGCUACAAUGGUCUGUACAAUGGGUAGCCAAGCCGCGAGGCGGAGCCAAUCCUGAAAGCAGGCCUCAGUUCAGAUCGCAGUCUGCAACUCGACUGCAUGAAGCCGGAGUUGCUAGUAACCGCAGGUCAGCAAUACUGCGGUGAAUACGUUCCCGGGCCUU
Molecule: ribosomal RNA, 449 nt
Filed under: uncultured Anaerolineaceae bacterium
Lineage: Bacteria; Bacillati; Chloroflexota; Anaerolineae; Anaerolineales; Anaerolineaceae
Description: bacterial SSU rRNA
Rfam family: Bacterial small subunit ribosomal RNA
Source: RNAcentral